CAGCCGCCGCGGGAACACGGAGGGGGCUAGCGUUGUUCGGAAUUACUGGGCGUAAAGCGCACGUAGGCGGCUUGGUAAGUUAGAGGUGAAAGCCUGGAGCUCAACUCCAGAAUUGCCUUUAAGACUGCCGAGCUAGCAGGUGAGAGAGGUAAGUGGAAUUCCGAGUGUAGAGGUGAAAUGCGUAGAGAUCGGGAGGAACAUCAGUGGCGAAGGCGGCCAUCUGGGACAACACUGACGCUGAGGCACGAAAGCGUGGGGAGCAAACAGGAUUAGAUACCCCUGUAGUCCCUGUCUCUUAUAC
This 301-nucleotide ribosomal RNA is filed under the name uncultured bacterium. RNAcentral describes it as "partial 16S ribosomal RNA". It matches the Rfam family "Bacterial small subunit ribosomal RNA", at positions 509 to 807 of the family's 1533-position model. The record is from RNAcentral.